GCGCUGCCCGCCCCGCUGCUGACGGGUUGGUGUGUCACGUUGUGGGUUGAGUUCGCUCAGGCGUUCGCUGUGAAUGUUCCCUGCCGUGCGCGGCGGCCGGGCUACGGUAGCCGCCACGGCUUUUCUGUCGUGAGGGGCAUUGCCCCCAUCCAUCAGGUAGCCCUGCUGCUGAGGAGCUGGCGGGGACCCCGAGUCAUUGUGGUAAAGAUACAUGAAGAGGGAAGUCCCGCUUCUGCUGCUGCUGUUGAGAAAAGUAACGCUCUGGGAGGCAGAGUCGGAGCCGGUAGCAUUCCUGCACCGCUCCGUGGGCUCUGCUGGUCGCUUCUCCCUGCCGGCCCUCGGCGUGCCUGGCCAGAUUUCUGAACUUAAAGGGAAGAUAUUUAGAUCACUCAGUUUAACGCUACUGGCUACCUGUCUAGAACAAGCCACACAGCAUCAGUUCACUGGGAUUAGAACUACUCUGAAUAACAUGCUUUGGUCCAGCAUGAAGGAAGACAAUCUUAAUGAGUUAAGAGGCUCUUAAAGCAGACCACAGGAAUUUCAAGAGUGAAGCUGAAUGAAACCAUGGAAAUUAAUCAGGUGGAAGUCAAUCAUCGCAGCCUUAAGACAGAAUUUGUCAGAGCACACAGCCAUUGGAGACUGGAGGAAGGCAGUGAUGUGGCCUGCCUCAGACUCUGUCUACCUCGAGGCUCUUCAGGAUCAAAAGACAAGGUGUAAAACCUUUGUAUACAAUUACACUCCAGGAUGCAUUUCAAGGGCGAGGGCAAAAGCUGGUGCAAAUUUGUGAAACAGAUGACCUGCAUAUCCCUUCUCUCAUGACUCUUCCAACUGUCACACCCACAUUAAAAACAAUAGUCAAUACAAAUCAAUAAAAUAAUACAAUGAAUAGCAGCACGUUCCUUGUUUUCAAGUGCCACUCUGCUAGAACAACGUGUAAUAUAAAUGACGAAAACCAAUACUAAUAUCAGACUGACCUACACAGAAUGGAGUAGUUAUCUCUUGUUCCACGAAUGUAUUGGCUUAUGCAACUCCCAUACUUGAAAAAUAAAAUCUGCAGCAUAAGACCAC
RNAcentral lists this long non-coding RNA (1068 nucleotides) under Gallus gallus (chicken). The record is from RNAcentral. Lineage: Eukaryota; Metazoa; Chordata; Aves; Galliformes; Phasianidae.